RNAcentral lists this long non-coding RNA (661 nucleotides) under Citrus x clementina. RNAcentral describes it as "Citrus clementina (C. clementina) long non-coding RNA (CCLE_LNC002016)". The record is from RNAcentral. Lineage: Eukaryota; Viridiplantae; Streptophyta; Magnoliopsida; Sapindales; Rutaceae.
CACCCCAAACCACCGCAUCACAAGCCACCCCAUGUCAAACCACCGCACAAGCCCCCGUAUGUUCCUAAACCACCUUAUUCCCCAAGCCCUAAACCGCCUUACGUGCCAAAACCACCUCAUACUCCAGUCCCUAGGCCACCAUAUUUCCCCAAACCACCUUACACACCAAGGCCUAAGCCACCAUAUGCGCCAAAACCACCUUAUACGCCAACCCCUAAGCCACCAUAUUUCCCCAAACCACCUUACACACCAAGGCCGAAGCCACCAUAUGUGCCAAAACCACCUUAUACGCCAGCCCCUAAGCCACCAUAUUUUCCCAAACCACCUUACACACCAAGGCCUAAGCCACCAUAUGCACCAAAACCACCUUAUACGCCAACACCUAAGCCACCAUAUUUCCCCAAACCACCUUACACACCAAGGCCUAAGCCACCGUACGUGCCAAAACCACCGUACACACCAAGGCCUAAGCCACCGUACGUGCCAAAACCACCAUACACACCAACCCCUAAGCCACCGUACGUGCCAAAACCACCUUACACCCCAACCCCUAAGCCACCGUACGUGCCAAAACCACCGUAUACCCCAACUCCUAAGCCACCGUACGUCCCAUCGCCACCUUAUACCCCUCGCCCUAAACCACCGUAUGUACCAUCACCAC